CACGUAGGAGGCGAGCGUUGUCCGGAAUCAUUGGGCGUAAAGAGCGCGCAGGCGGCUUGGCAAGUCGGGUGUGAAAUCCCGGGGCUCAACCCCGUGACUGCAUCCGAUACUGUCAGGCUAGAGGUAGGUAGGGGAGACUGGAAUUCCUGGUGUAGCGGUGAAAUGCGCAGAUAUCAGGAGGAACACCGAUGGCGAAGGCAGGUCUCUGGGCAUUAACUGACGCUGAGGAGCGAAAGCAUGGGGAGCGAACAGG
Molecule: ribosomal RNA, 253 nt
Filed under: uncultured bacterium
Lineage: Bacteria
Description: partial 16S ribosomal RNA
Rfam family: Bacterial small subunit ribosomal RNA
Source: RNAcentral